UACGGGGGGAGCAAGCGUUGUUCGGAUUUACUGGGCGUAAAGGGCGCGUAGGCGGUCAGCACAAGUCAGUUGUGAAAUCUCCGGGCUUAACUCGGAAAGGUCAACUGAUACUGUGCGACUAGAGUGCGGAAGGGGCAACUGGAAUUCUCGGUGUAGCGGUGAAAUGCGUAGAUAUCGAGAGGAACACCUGCGGCGAAGGCGGGUUGCUGGGCUGAUACUGACGCUGAGGCGCGAAAGCCAGGGGAGCGAACGGG
This 254-nucleotide ribosomal RNA is filed under the name uncultured bacterium. RNAcentral's name for it is "partial 16S ribosomal RNA". It matches the Rfam family "Bacterial small subunit ribosomal RNA", at positions 524 to 776 of the family's 1533-position model. The record is from RNAcentral.